Molecule: ribosomal RNA, 468 nt
Filed under: uncultured bacterium
Lineage: Bacteria
Description: partial 16S ribosomal RNA
Rfam family: Bacterial small subunit ribosomal RNA
Source: RNAcentral
GACGAACGCUGGCGGCGUGCUUAACACAUGCAAGUCGAACGGAAAGGCCCUGCUUUUGUGGGGUGCUCGAGUGGCGAACGGGUGAGUAACACGUGAGUAACCUGCCCUUGACUUUGGGAUAACUUCAGGAAACUGGGGCUAAUACCGGAUAGGAGCUCCUGCUGCAUGGUGGGGGUUGGAAAGUUUCGGCGGGUGGGGAUGGACUCGCGGCUUAUCAGCUUGCUGGUGGGGUAGUGGCUUACCAAGGCUUUGACGGGUCGCCGGCCUGAGAGGGGGACCGGCCACAAUGGGACUGAGAGACGGCGCAGACUCCUACGGGAGGCAGCAGGGGGGAAUAUUGCCCAAUGGGCGGAAGCCUGAUGCAGCAACGCCGCGUGCGGGAUGACGGCCUGCGGGUUGUAAACCGCUUUCGCCUGUGACGAAGCGUGAGUGACGGUAAUGGGUAAAGAAGCACCGGCUAACUACGUG